UAUAGUAUUUUUUAGUUAAGUCAGAUUCUUCAUUUUCUACAGUCAUAUCUAAAAAAUGAUGUCCUUGUGGAUAUCACAAUAAAGCAAAAUAUCCAAAUAUGCUAUAAAGCAUAUAAUAUGCAUCAAGAUAAAUCCAUAUCAAUCUCCAUAGCAAGCCCUGUGGAUAUCAUAACAAACCUACUAUGAUUUUUGAUAGGAUAUUGACUAGGC
This 210-nucleotide long non-coding RNA is filed under the name Elaeis guineensis (African oil palm). RNAcentral's name for it is "long non-coding RNA (EGUI_LNC009901)". Lineage: Eukaryota; Viridiplantae; Streptophyta; Magnoliopsida; Arecales; Arecaceae. The record is from RNAcentral.